GAUGAACGCUGGCGGCGUGCCUAAUACAUGCAAGUCGAGCGAACAGACGAGGAGCUUGCUCCUCUGACGUUAGCGGCGGACGGGUGAGUAACACGUGGAUAACCUACCUAUAAGACUGGGAUAACUUCGGGAAACCGGAGCUAAUACCGGAUAAUAUAUUGAACCGCAUGGUUCAAUAGUGAAAGACGGUUUUGCUGUCACUUAUAGAUGGAUCCGCGCCGCAUUAGCUAGUUGGUAAGGUAACGGCUUACCAAGGCAACGAUGCGUAGCCGACCUGAGAGGGUGAUCGGCCACACGGGAACUGAGACACGGUCCAGACUCCUACGGGAGGCAGCAGUAGGGAAUCUUCCGCAAUGGGCGAAAGCCUGACGGAGCAACGCCGCGUGAGUGAUGAAGGUCUUCGGAUCGUAAAACUCUGUUAUUAGGGAAGAACAAAUGUGUAAGUAACUAUGCACGUCUGGACGGUACCUAAUCAGAAAGCCACGGCUAACUACGU
RNAcentral lists this ribosomal RNA (496 nucleotides) under uncultured bacterium. RNAcentral describes it as "partial 16S ribosomal RNA". It matches the Rfam family "Bacterial small subunit ribosomal RNA", at positions 28 to 506 of the family's 1533-position model. The record is from RNAcentral.